This 253-nucleotide ribosomal RNA is filed under the name uncultured bacterium. RNAcentral's name for it is "partial 16S ribosomal RNA". It matches the Rfam family "Bacterial small subunit ribosomal RNA", at positions 524 to 776 of the family's 1533-position model. The record is from RNAcentral.
UACGUAGGGGGCAAGCGUUGUCCGGAAUCAUUGGGCGUAAAGCGCGUGUAGGCGGCCCGAUAAGUCCGCUGUGAAAGUCCAGGGCUCAACCCUGGGAUGCCGGUGGAUACUGUCGGGCUCGAGUCCGGAAGAGGCGAGUGGAAUUCCUGGUGUAGCGGUGAAAUGCGUAGAUAUUGGGAGGAACACCAAUGGCGAAGGCAGCUCGCUGGGACGGUACUGACGCUGAGGCGCGAAAGCGUGGGGAGCAAACAGG